RNAcentral lists this ribosomal RNA (468 nucleotides) under uncultured bacterium. Its description in RNAcentral is "partial 16S ribosomal RNA". It matches the Rfam family "Bacterial small subunit ribosomal RNA", at positions 28 to 507 of the family's 1533-position model. The record is from RNAcentral.
GAUGAACGCUGGCGGCGUACUUAACACAUGCAAGUCGAACGGAAAGGCCGAAGCUUGCUUCGGUACUCGAGUGGCGAACGGGUGAGUAACACGUGGGUGACCUGCCCUGUACUUCGGGAUAAGCUUGGGAAACUGGGUCUAAUACCGGAUAUGACGAUCUCUUGGAUGGGGUUGUGGAAAGCUUUUGCGGUACGGGAUGAGCUCGCGGCCUAUCAGCUUGUUGGUGGGGUAAUGGCCUACCAAGGCGUCGACGGGUAGCCGGCCAGUGAGGGUGUACGGCCGCAUUGGGACUGAGAGACGGCCCAGACUCCGAAGCGUGGCAGAAGUGGGGAAGAUUGAACGAUGAGCGCAAGCCUGAUGCAGCAGGGCCGCGGGGGGGAUAACGGCCUUCGAGGUGUAGACCCCUUUCGCAAUUGAAGAGGCCUUUUGGUGACGGUAGGUUAAGAAGAAGCACCGGCUAACUACGUG